UACGAAGGGGGCUAGCGUUGUUCGGAAUUACUGGGCGUAAAGCGUAUGCAGGCGGAUCGUUAAGUCGGGGGUGAAAUCCCGGGGCUCAACCUCGGAACUGCCUUCGAUACUGGGGAUCUUGAGUCCGGGAGAGGUGAGUGGAACUCCGAGUGUAGAGGUGAAAUUCGUAGAUAUUCGGAAGAACACCAGUGGCGAAGGCGGCUCACUGGCCCGGUACUGACGCUGAGAUACGAAAGCGUGGGGAGCAAACAGG
Molecule: ribosomal RNA, 253 nt
Filed under: uncultured bacterium
Lineage: Bacteria
Description: partial 16S ribosomal RNA
Rfam family: Bacterial small subunit ribosomal RNA
Source: RNAcentral